AGGAACCUGCCUUCCAGAGGGGGACAACAGUUGGAAACGACGUGCUAAUACCGCAUGAUGCAUUGAAGUCGCAUGGCUUUGAUGUCAAAGAUUUAUCGCUGGAAGAUGGCCUCGCGUCUGAUUAGCUAGUUGGUGAGGUAACGGCCCACCAAGGCGACGAUCAGUAGCCGGACUGAGAGGUUGGCCGGCCACAUUGGGACUGAGAUACGGCCCAGACUCCUACGGGAGGCAGCAG
Molecule: ribosomal RNA, 235 nt
Filed under: uncultured bacterium
Lineage: Bacteria
Description: partial 16S ribosomal RNA
Rfam family: Bacterial small subunit ribosomal RNA
Source: RNAcentral